CCUACGGGAGGCAGCAGUGAGGAAUAUUGGUCAAUGGACGAGAGUCUGAACCAGCCAAGUAGCGUGAAGGAUGACUGCCCUAUGGGUUGUAAACUUCUUUUAUAAAGGAAUAAAACGAGGCACGUGUGCCUUUUUGCAUGUACUUUAUGAAUAAGGAUCGGCUAACUCCGUGCCAGCAGCCGCGGUAAUACGGAGGAUCCGAGCGUUAUCCGGAUUUAUUGGGUUUAAAGGGAGCGUAGAUGGGGUGUUAAGUCAGUUGUGAAAGUUUGCGGCUCAACCGUAAAAUUGCAAUUGAUACUGGCAGUCGUGAGUACAGUUGAGGUAGGCGGAAUUCGUGGUGUAGCGGUGAAAUGCUUAGAUAUCACGAAGAACCCCGAGUGCGAAGGCAGCUUACUAAACUGUGACUGACAUUGAUGCGCGAAAGUGUGGGUAUCAAACAGGAUUAGAUACCCUAGUAGUC
Molecule: ribosomal RNA, 460 nt
Filed under: uncultured bacterium
Lineage: Bacteria
Description: partial 16S ribosomal RNA
Rfam family: Bacterial small subunit ribosomal RNA
Source: RNAcentral